RNAcentral lists this ribosomal RNA (320 nucleotides) under uncultured eukaryote. RNAcentral's name for it is "partial 18S ribosomal RNA". It matches the Rfam family "Eukaryotic small subunit ribosomal RNA", at positions 1470 to 1796 of the family's 1831-position model. The record is from RNAcentral.
CCCCUAGAUGUUCUGGGCCGCACGCGCGCUACACUGAACAGUUCAACAAGUCUUAACCUUGGCCGAUAGGUCUGGGUAAUCUUUGAACGCUGUUCGUGAUUGGGAUAGACCUUUGCAAUUAUGGGUCUUCACCGAGGAAUUCCUAGUAAACGCAAGUCAUCAGCUUGCAUUGAUUACGUCCCUGCCCUUUGUACACACCGCCCGUCGCACCUACCGAUUGAAUGGUCCGGUGAAAUCUCGGGACGGCGGCUUGGUCGCUUGCGUCCGACUGCUGAAACUUGAUUAAACCAUAUCAUUUAGAGGAAGGUGAAGUCGUAACA